GGGAUCUCGUUUAAACAGUUUAAGAAGCUUUCAUUUUCACUCAUUUUAAUUUCUCUUCAAAUAACAGCUCGCCAUGUUCGCUAUGCAUAAAACAUUAUUAUAGUUACCAUAUAUUUAUUUUCGUUACCAUAUUUAAUUUUUGUACGAAGCUGUACCAUACUAACAGCAUGACAAUAAUAAUAAUAAUAAUAAUAAUAAUAAUAAUAAUAAUAAUAAAGUAAGAACAAUAAAAUUAAUUUAUUUAACUGAAUCAGCUUUUUUUAUUUAUUUAUUUAUUAUUAUUAUUAUUAUUUUUUUUUGUAUCAGCUUUAAAUAUGAUAGGAUUUAUAGGACGUAUUGUUUACGUGCGGUACCCACAGCAGGUAUCCUGAGCCACGCCCAUUGUACGCAAAUCUUUAAACUCCUGUCCAAUCAGCUUCCAGUUCCAAGCGCGGCUCAUGAAUAAACAUAACUUUUUAAUACUACAUCGAGAGACUGGUGGAUGGUGUGGAGGUUUAGUUGGGGGAUAUUGACAGAAAACCCGUGGACCCCAACAAAUCUCCUAAAAAGAACUAUUUAGUCUCCUUCAAGUCAUCAGGGUGACUAUGGCGCACGCCGGAGCUCUCCGCGCGUCCCUGCUACUGAUUUUACUGCAGUUAGUCCUGAUCAUCUCAGCACAGAGGGGGCCAGUUGGUCCCAGAGGACCACCCGGACCUCCAGGGCUUCCUGGGUUUUCUGGUGUUGACGGCAUUGAUGUGAGUCACAUAUCUAUCUAUCUAUCUAUCUAUCUAUCUAUCUAUCUAUCUAUCUAUCUAUCUAUCUAUCUAUCUAUCUAUCUAAUUCCUCAGAGAUUCUCUGAUUUCUCAGUUUACAGUAUGGUAUAUUCUUGUAGCCUGGAAUAACAACUCUAUUUGAGUUAUUUAGUUAGUAUUUCAUAUGAUUUCAGGGUGAUAGGGGACCUGGCCCUGGCCCAGAUGGCCCCCCAGUAAGUAUUUAUCUUUUUUGCGACAAAAAAAAAAGAGUUCUGCAUAGCUGAAAUGAUGUGCAACAGUCCAUUAAUCUGAUGAAUUCGUCAGGGCCUUGAUGGGGACAAUGGCAAGGAUGGAUUAAAUGGCCUUCCAGGAAAACCAGGAGCGGAUGUGAGUCUUGUUCUUUAUUAUCGUAAAGGUCUAGAAACCAAGAUAAAAUCAGCUUUUCUUUUCUAAGUAGCACUUGCAGCAUCAGAGUCUGUGAGUGUAGUUUACAUUGGAGGGGUCUGAGUGAAAAAAAGCUGCUGGAUGGAAAAAAGAACCAGAGAGGAGAGGAAAGCGAAAGCAGAGAGAGCCC
This is a long non-coding RNA of Cyprinus carpio (common carp), 1305 nucleotides long. The record is from Ensembl. NCBI's taxonomy places the organism in Eukaryota, Metazoa, Chordata, Actinopteri, Cypriniformes, Cyprinidae.